CCGAGGUGCCCACGCCGCGCCGGUGCGAUGCCGGUGGCGGCAGGGAGAAUCGGGAAGCCGGUGAGAGUCCGGCACAGGGCCCGCUGCGGUGACCCGGAGCUCGAUCCGGGAAGUCCGAAGACCGGCCUCGG
Non-coding RNA from Actinophytocola sp., 131 nucleotides. Lineage: Bacteria; Bacillati; Actinomycetota; Actinomycetes; Pseudonocardiales; Pseudonocardiaceae. The record is from Rfam.